ACAUCGCCGAGCUCAUCAAAAAAGGUGAGAUCGACCAGAUCAAAGUCGCAAUGGAGCAAAGUCUCGCGCCCGGAUCGCAAACCUUCGAGCAGUGCCUCUUCAACUACUACCAGUCCGGCCGCAUUACGCUCGACGAAGCAAUGCAGAAUGCCGACUCCGCCACGAACCUGCACUG
This 175-nucleotide unclassified non-coding RNA is filed under the name uncultured fungus. Its description in RNAcentral is "sequence contains ITS1". Lineage: Eukaryota; Fungi. The record is from RNAcentral.